Molecule: ribosomal RNA, 253 nt
Filed under: uncultured bacterium
Lineage: Bacteria
Description: partial 16S ribosomal RNA
Rfam family: Bacterial small subunit ribosomal RNA
Source: RNAcentral
UACGAAGGGGGCUAGCGUUGUUCGGAAUCACUGGGCGUAAAGCGCACGUAGGCGGAUUGUUAAGUCGGGGGUGAAAUCCUGAGGCUCAACCUCAGAACUGCCUUCGAUACUGGCAAUCUCGAGUCCGGAAGAGGUUGGUGGAACAGCUAGUGUAGAGGUGAAAUUCGUAGAUAUUAGCUAGAACACCAGUGGCGAAGGCGGCCAACUGGUCCGGUACUGACGCUGAGGUGCGAAAGCGUGGGGAGCGAACCGG